Molecule: ribosomal RNA, 402 nt
Filed under: uncultured bacterium
Lineage: Bacteria
Description: bacterial SSU rRNA
Rfam family: Bacterial small subunit ribosomal RNA
Source: RNAcentral
UGAGGAAUCUUCCACAAUGGACGAAAGUCUGAUGGAGCGACACCGCGUGAAGGAUGAAGGUCUAACGAUUGUAAACUUCUUUUCUGAGGGAGCAUAAUGAGAGUACCUCAGGAAUAAGGGACGGCUAAAUACGUGCCAGCAGCCGCGGUAAUACGUAUGUCCCAAGCGUUACCCGGAAUUACUGGGUGUAAAGGGUUCGUAGGUGGAUUUUUAAGUCAGGUAUGAAAGACCGAAGCUCAACUUCGUGUUUGUAUUUGAAACUGGAAAUCUAGAAUUAGGGAGAGGUAAGCGGAAUUCUAAGUGUAGGGGUGCAAUCCGUAGAUACUUAGAAGAACACCAAAAGCGAAGGCAGCUUACUGGAACUAUAUUGACGCUCAUGAACGAAAGCGUGGGGAGCGAAAG